UUCUAAUCCUGAAACCCUCGUCUUUGCUUUUUCAAGUCUGAUUGGGAAUUUGAUUGAAUUUCUUUAGUGGAAAAUUAUGCAAAGUAAUAGAUUUUACCUUUUGGAACACUCGCAUGGCUUCUUCUUGAGUCUUUUCAUCUUUUCUCAUCCAUUUUGUUCUUUUUUUUUAAUAGACACAGAGUUUAUUCAUUUGAUUGCUCUUUUGAAUGAAUAAAUAGGCUGAAACAAAACAACUCAUAUAUGAACAAACUGUUUACUUUCUUCAUUUGCAACUUUUGCAGUAGAUUUGCCUUGCGAUAGUGAUGUUUUUUUGUAGUCCCUUUGACUUGGGUAGGCUUUUCCUUCGUGAUCGGCUUUGUGAAGGCAGUGAGGAAGUUCACUUCGCCGAGAGCACAACGCAAGAGAUUGGUCAAUAAGAAUGCUUUCUUACUGAAAUCAAUAGAUAAAUUGUUUCUGAAGGGAAGGAAUGAAGUAAAUAAUGCGGUUCUCUGAAAGAGCUUCUGCAAAAGUGGGGUCAAGAUAUACAAUGCAUCAAGGGGUAUUUCAAAAGGACCG
Molecule: long non-coding RNA, 555 nt
Organism: Zingiber officinale
Lineage: Eukaryota; Viridiplantae; Streptophyta; Magnoliopsida; Zingiberales; Zingiberaceae
Exons: 3
Source: RefSeq, a predicted model, not a curated record